UACGGAGGGUGCAAGCGUUGUUCGGAAUUACUGGGCGUAAAGCGUGUCUAGGCGGAAGUGUAAGUCAGGUGUGAAAGACCUUGGCUCAACCAAGGAAUUGCGCCUGAAACUGCGCUUCUUGAAUAGUGGAGAGGUGAGCGGAAUACCUAGUGUAGCAGUGAAAUGCGUAGAUAUUAGGUAGAACACCGGAGGCGAAGGCGGCUCACUGGCCAUUUAUUGACGCUGAAGCACGAAAGCGUGGGUAGCAAACAGG
Molecule: ribosomal RNA, 253 nt
Filed under: uncultured bacterium
Lineage: Bacteria
Description: partial 16S ribosomal RNA
Rfam family: Bacterial small subunit ribosomal RNA
Source: RNAcentral